RNAcentral lists this ribosomal RNA (539 nucleotides) under Arciellia dolichostoma. RNAcentral describes it as "partial 12S ribosomal RNA". The record is from RNAcentral. Lineage: Eukaryota; Metazoa; Arthropoda; Insecta; Diptera; Dolichopodidae.
GUGCCAGCAGCUGCGGUUAUACAAAAAAUACAAGUAAAUUUUAUUAAAUUAAGUUAAAUUGUAAAAUAUUUAAUAAUAAAAAAAUUUUUAGGUGAAAUUUUAAUUAUUUUAUUUUUAAAAAAGAAAAAUUUAUUGAAGCUAAAAAAUUUUGUUAAUAAACUAGGAUUAGAUACCCUAUUAUUAAAAAAUGUAUUUUAAAAAGUUAGAGUAGUAAUAGUUAUGUUCUUGAAACUCAAAAAAUUUGGCGGUAUUUUAGUCUAUUCAGAGGAACCUGUGGUGUAAUCGAUAAUCCACGAUGAAUCUUACUUAUUUUUGUUUUUCAAUUUGUAUACCGCCGUUAUUUAAAAAUUUUUUGAAAAUAAUAAUUUUUAUAAUUUUUUAUUAAAGAAAAAGUCAGGUCAAGGUGCAGUUUAUAUUUAAGUAUUUCAUGGGUUACAAUAAAUUUAUUUAUAUGGAUUAAAUUAUGUAAUUAGUUUAUGAAAGUGGAUUUGGUAGUAAAUUUUUAAAGAUWAAAAAAUUGAUUUUAGCUCUAAAAUAUG